UGGUCCUGUAACUAGUCAUGCAUAAACAUUUAUAACAGAAUAAUUUAUCUGAUAAAAUUAUCUUUUCUUCUGUUUUGAUUUCAAAAAAGGAUUGGAAAAUCUCUCUCUGUUUUGAGUUCAAAAAAGGAUUGGAAAAUCUCUCUGAAAGGGGAAAAAAAAUGGCAACAGCCACUCCUACUAGAAUGGUUUACUUGGAAUUUUCUUUUUUCCCAAGCCUUCAUAUUGCUCAAUCUUUCAGUCCUUGGAAGUUAUGACAAGCAAUCCCAAUGCGCC
This 273-nucleotide unclassified non-coding RNA is filed under the name Hevea brasiliensis (rubber tree). Lineage: Eukaryota; Viridiplantae; Streptophyta; Magnoliopsida; Malpighiales; Euphorbiaceae. The record is from RNAcentral.